GUGCCAGCCGCCGCGGUAAUACAGAGGUCCCAAGCGUUGUUCGGAUUUACUGGGCGUAAAGGGUGCGUAGGUGGCGGGGAAAGUUUGAUGUGAAAUCUCCGAGCUUAACUCGGAAACUGCAUUGAAUACUACUCUGCUUGAGGGUUGGAGGGGGGACUGGAAUUCUCGGUGUAGCGGUGAAAUGCGUAGAUAUCGAGAGGAACACCAGUGGCGUAGGCGAGUCCCUGGACAACUCCUGACACUGAGGCACGAAAGCUAGGGUAGCAAACAGGAUUAGAUACCCCGGUAGUCC
Molecule: ribosomal RNA, 292 nt
Filed under: uncultured bacterium
Lineage: Bacteria
Description: partial 16S ribosomal RNA
Rfam family: Bacterial small subunit ribosomal RNA
Source: RNAcentral